AGUGAACGCUGGCGGUAGGCCUAACACAUGCAAGUCGAACGGCAGCACAGUAAGAGCUUGCUCUUACGGGUGGCGAGUGGCGGACGGGUGAGGAAUACAUCGGAAUCUACUUUUUCGUGGGGGAUAACGUAGGGAAACUUACGCUAAUACCGCAUACGACCUACGGGUGAAAGCAGGGGAUCUUCGGACCUUGCGCGGUUGAAUGAGCCGAUGUCGGAUUAGCUAGUUGGCGGGGUAAAGGCCCACCAAGGCGACGAUCCGUAGCUGGUCUGGGAGGAUGGUCAGCCACACUGGAACUGAGACACGGUCCAGACUCCUACGGGAGGCAGCAGUGGGGAAUAUUGGACAAUAGGCGGAAGCCUGAUACAGCCAUACCGCGUGGGUGAAGAAGGCCUUCGGGUUGUAAAGCCCUUUUGUUGGGAAAGAAAAGCAGCAGGUUAAUACCCCGCUGUUCUGACGGUACCCAAAGAAUAAGCACCGGCUAACUUCGUG
RNAcentral lists this ribosomal RNA (492 nucleotides) under uncultured bacterium. Its description in RNAcentral is "partial 16S ribosomal RNA". It matches the Rfam family "Bacterial small subunit ribosomal RNA", at positions 29 to 507 of the family's 1533-position model. The record is from RNAcentral.